RNAcentral lists this transfer RNA (84 nucleotides) under Kitasatospora sp. SolWspMP-SS2h. Its description in RNAcentral is "tRNA-Tyr". It matches the Rfam family "tRNA". Rfam says of the family: Transfer RNA (tRNA) molecules are approximately 80 nucleotides in length. Their secondary structure includes four short double-helical elements and three loops (D, anti-codon, and T loops). Lineage: Bacteria; Bacillati; Actinomycetota; Actinomycetes; Kitasatosporales; Streptomycetaceae. RNAcentral also lists the same sequence under 3 other names. The record is from RNAcentral.
GGCUGGUUGCCCGAGCGGCCAAAGGGAGCAGACUGUAAAUCUGUCGCGCAAGCUACGCAGGUUCGAACCCUGCACCAGCCACCG